RNAcentral lists this ribosomal RNA (1349 nucleotides) under uncultured organism. RNAcentral's name for it is "16S ribosomal RNA". It matches the Rfam family "Bacterial small subunit ribosomal RNA", at positions 121 to 1484 of the family's 1533-position model. The record is from RNAcentral.
GCAACCCGCCUAUCAGAGGGGAACAACAGUUAGAAAUGACUGCUAAUACCGCAUAUGCCUUAAUUACCACAUGGUAAUAGAGGGAAAGGAGUAAUCCGCUGAUAGAUGGGCUUGCGUCUGAUUAGAUAGUUGGUAAGGUAACGGCUUACCAAGUCGACGAUCAGUAGCCGGACUGAGAGGUUGAACGGCCACAUUGGGACUGAGAUACGGCCCAGACUCCUACGGGAGGCAGCAGUCGGGAAUAUCGCGCAAAGGAGGAAACUCUGACGCAGCGACGCCGCGUGCAGGAAGAAGGUUUUCGGAUUGUAAACAGCUUUAGACAGGGAAGAAACAAGACAGUACCCGUAGAAUAAGCUCCGGCUAACUACGUGCCAGCAGCCGCGGUAAUACGUAGGGAGCAAGCGUUAUCCGGAUUUAUUGGGUGUAAAGGGUGCGCAGACGGGAAUGCAAGUUGGUUGCGAAAUCCCCUCGGCUCAACCGAGGAAUUGCAACCAAAACUAUUAUUUCUUGAGUGCUGGAGAGAAAAGUGGAAUUCCUAGUGUAGCGUGGAAAUGCGUAGAUAUUAGGAGGAACACCAGUGGCGAAGGCGACUUUUUGGACAGUAACUGACGUUGAGGCACGAAAGUGUGGGGAGCAAACAGGAUUAGAUACCCUGGUAGUCCACACCGUAAACGAUGGAUACUAGGUGCAGGGGAUGAAUAAUCUUCUGUGCCGUCGCAAACGCAGUAAGUAUCCCACCUGGGGAGUACGGCCGCAAGGUUGAAACUCAAAGGAAUUGACGGGGGCCCGCACAAGCAGUGGAGUAUGUGGUUUAAUUCGACGCAACGCGAAGAACCUUACCAGGGCUUGACAUAUACAUGAAAAUCUAAGAGAUUAGAUCCCUCUUCGGAGCAUGUAUACAGGUGGUGCAUGGUUGUCGUCAGCUCGUGUCGUGAGAUGUUGGGUUAAGUCCCGCAACGAGCGCAACCCCUGUUCUUAGUUGCCAGCAUGUAAAGAUGGGAACUCUAAGAAGACUGCCGGUGAUAAAUCGGAGGAAGGUGGGGACGACGUCAAAUCAUCAUGCCCUUUAUGUCCUGGGCUACACACGUACUACAAUGGCUGUAACAAAGGGAAGCGAACCCGCGAGGGGAAGCAAAACCCAUAAAAGCAGUCUCAGUUCGGAUUGAAGGCUGAAAUUCGCCUUCAUGAAGCCGGAAUUGCUAGUAAUGGUAGGUCAGCAUACUGCCGUGAAUACGUUCCCGGGCCUUGUACACACCGCCCGUCACACCAUGAGAGUUGGGGAUACCCGAAGCCUGUGAGCUAACUGUAAAGAGGCAGCAGUCGAAGGUAGAAUCAAUGAUUGGGGUGAA